UCUGAGGCACAUCCUCCCUGGACAAGUCUUCUGGGGCAGGAAGGGCUGCCACCCUCAGUUCAGUAGGCUCACCAUUGUCUUCAGUCUAUUCUCCAGCCAGAAGCAGGAUGAGCCUCACUACACCUCCAUUCACUCUGACGUCUGCCCCAACUCCGAUGUUGGGCUAUACCAGUGAAAAUGCAGAAUUUAGGGAGAUGCAGCUGCACUACAAGUUCCCUUCAAGUGGGCAACAACCUGAGGGAUAAAGAACUCAUUAUGCAGCAAAACUGCUGACUCUUCUGGAUGAUAUUGGAACAUGCGCCUUUCCUGCCUCCUCUUUAAUUAUCAGUUUGAUGAAGACCCAGUAAUCGGCCAAAGUUUUCUGCUCAGAUUUCCUUGGAAAAUGAGACUAGGAGUUGGAAGACUUCUAACUUGUGUUGCAAGCUCAAGAUCCUAGCAAAAAAAGACGAAUGAAAGAGAGUUUGGGUUGUUGACCAAACCUUGUUCCAGGUGCUCUGACUGGCGAUUAGCAUGUCACCAUGGAAUUCCAGCCCCAGAAACCAAAUGCUCCUCCCAGAAGAGGUCACUGGCUAGCCUCCUGUGCGGACAGAGCAGGACCCUACUGUGCAGGCUGACCCUGCUGGAUCACAUCAGAGAGCAUCUUACCAGGACCUGGGACUCAAAGCCACAGAGGGGCCAUUGAGAAGCCAUCCAAAGGCAACUUCUGUUCCCUCGUGGAUUUGGCAAGCUCUGAAGGUCGCAUCCCAGCUUGACCUAAAAACUGCAGCUUCACCCAUGAACUUUAAUUCCCCUCUCCUUGACUCCCUCCCACCACAGGCUGCAAACAGCCCAGCGCAGUCUUCCACAUCAAAGAAUUCCUUUUACUAAAAGAGGCAAGGCUAUUCCUUUGGCCCCUCUGCCAUAUAUGACUUGGGAGAGGAAAAGCUGGAAAGAAAAAGCCUUCAAUAUUU
Long non-coding RNA from Chinchilla lanigera (long-tailed chinchilla), 950 nucleotides. RefSeq lists it as uncharacterized. The record is from RefSeq and is a predicted model, not a curated record. The transcript is spliced from 4 exons. Lineage: Eukaryota; Metazoa; Chordata; Mammalia; Rodentia; Chinchillidae.